Long non-coding RNA from Tyto alba (common barn owl), 5134 nucleotides. RefSeq lists it as uncharacterized. The record is from RefSeq and is a predicted model, not a curated record. Lineage: Eukaryota; Metazoa; Chordata; Aves; Strigiformes; Tytonidae. The transcript has 2 exons.
UGCGGCCGGCGGCCCGAGACCGCCUCGCAGCCGGGCCGGAGCCGCGCCGCCUCUCGCUCCCCUCUCCAGCUUCGCGGCUGCGGUGUCACGCUAAGCGCUCCCAGCCCUCGGCUUGGGCUGUUCAGCCUCCUUGGGCGCCACGGAGGCCCCGUCCUUCAGGGCGAGGAGCCCGACCAGCGGCUGGGGCCGUCUCUGCCGCCAGCGCUCCCCUGGGACGAAGCUGAUGCGGCCUCGGGCUUGAAGGGCCGGGUCGGUUCAAGGCGGGGUGUGGGACGCUUGUGCAUCUUCAGGCACUCGGUGGGAGAGCCCUUUUAAAGGAUUUAAACCAAACCCCAUGGGUUUGGUUUUGGUUUUGUUAUGGUUGUUUUUUUUUUCCUUAAUCGAAGACAAACAGUUGCAGUAUUUGAGGGAUUAUGAAUAGAUUAAAUGGAAUUUAGUUAUCAGAAAUAGGAUUUGAGAUGGUUCAUUGUAGCCGGGUUUUGACUUUUUGAUGCCUGAAAAGUUCUUGUUUCGGAAAGAGUGCUGUGGAAGUUUGGGGCCGGAGUGACUCAGGUGCGUGCCUGCAGGUGGGAGGAUGGAGCAGGGAACCUGGAGGCGCCAGGUCUGUGAGGCGUGGGUUGUCCCGAUGGCAUGGCCGUGAAUCGGAAUGUAAAAGAUCUCCGUGUGUUUUGAUUAAGCAAUCCCCAGAUGUUGAGGCAGGUCUCUUUUCAUGCCUCUGAGCAUACUUUCUCAUUUCCCCCGAUGACUCACUGAACAGGCUAUAUUUUUUCAUAAAGUGUAGUAUCUCAAACAGGAAAUAAAGUUCCAGGGAAGCUUUACCAGUGUUGCAUAGUGAACAUCUCCCUCUGUCUGGGAUUAUGAAAUACGGGGAUUAAUGCAAUGCAUAUUUCUCAAAAAAAAAAAAAAAAAUCUGUCUAAGGAUCCAGCUUUUUAAUGGAAGAUUUUAGUAGUGAAAGGACUGGAAACAAGAAAAACACCUGUUUUGGAGAACCAGUUAAAAUCUGUUUCUUAGAUACUUAGAAAAAUCAAAUAGAUAUUAUUUAAUGCAUUAAGAAACCUGCUUGGAGUAUUGGAUCUGUUUUAGGACUGAGGACAUUUGAUACUGUCAGAAUGAGACCUGUCUUUCCAUAAAUUAGCAUGUUACUUAGCACAUUUCUUGCCAAUAGUAUUCCAGUUCUCUAGGGCCAGCAGGGACUUAGGGAAGUGAAAGUUAGAAGGGACUCUGCUGGAAAUUGAGGCAAAGCCCUAGAAUAUACAAACUGUUCGAGGCAUCUAAAAUAGCAUUAUAUUUCCCUCUGGUUUGGGCAAAUUAUGCUCAAUGUAAUGCAUAUACUUGAAACCGAAGCUACAGUAUGUACUUUCUCAGUAAUAAGCAUACUAAAAGUCCACAGAAAUGAAGUGUAUUUUCAUCAUAAGGAAAAAAACUACAUGUGACACCUAACUUUGCACUUUAGUAUCCACUUUGUUUCUUGCUGAGUUUUUUCCCUUCCGCUUAGAAGCGAUGUUUUAGCAGGUUGUAACAAUAGAAGUUGUGUUUCAGUAAGAUAACAAGUAUGAUAUGCUUAAAGAACAGCAUUAUCUUAUCUGAGCAAGUAUUGCCAUGUAUUAAAUGUCAAUGUAACACAACUAUACAAGAAUAUUUCUAAUUACAGUAUUAAAGACAACUUGUGUGGAACAAUGAGUGUCAUAAAAAUAGGAGAGUUUUGUGUGGGGACACUGGGAGGUUUUACAAUCUGAAUGUAAAGAUCCAUGUAGCCCUCCUUUUCCAAUUGUAACUAUGAUAGGAUUUUGUUUUGUGUUUUGUUUUCUGAUUAACUACUAGCUCACUGUAUGCUUGUAUUUUCAACAAAGAUACUUCCUUUGUGAUAGACAUGUGUGUAGAACUCUUAGUUUAGAAAUUAAUACUCCAAAUAAAAGAUUUUUUUCCCCCAUAACUUCAAUCUGCUGACCCAUCACUUCAGGGUAGGUUUCAAUUAUAUUAGUUUACUAGCCUUCUUCAAGAUAUAGAUUAGAAGGUGGUGGUCUGGGUUUUCCUCAGGUUACAGCAUGACCUGAGAUAUGCUGGGCUGUGUCUGCACCAUGGGGAAAGGUGCUUUUUGAUUAUAUUGCAUUGAGCUGAUUUGAACAAAAGUGAAUUAAAAUGUUUUUUUUGUUUUUUAGUUUGUUGAAGCACACUAAAGAGACUUUAUAUGUGCUUUUGCUUACUAGCAUUCACAGAAGGUACUGGCUCCAUUUCUAUUGCAGUUACUGUGGUAAGUAGUCUUUGAAACAGGAGUCUUUGUCAACUGUUACCAACAAAGAAAACUCUGCAGUGCCAGUUUUUGGUUGCCUGAAAAAUCCCAGUAUUUCUUUGUAAAACUACAUGUUUCAAAGCAAUCUACAGGACACCAAUCCAAAAAUAUUUUUGAUAAUGCUCAGAGGGGUUCUAUUUCCAGAGUGAUGUGAUACAUAUAUAUAUAUAUGGUCUUAAUAAAGCAUCCCCACAUCCCGGAAAAAAAGAACAAACCUUACUUCCAUUCUGUGAGUGCUAUGCUGAGUGCUCAUCACAAGGAUUUAGAUGGGCAAAAUCCUGAUCACUUCUAUUUAUUAUUGCCUGUAUGUAUUUGAUGUGGCAUUGCAACCCCUAAUCCCUCUCAUUAGAUUAAAAGAUACGGAGUGAAAUCCUGUCUCAAUAAAAUCAGUAAGGUGAAACUCUCUCCCUGAAAGGAAGAGGUGGGUUUUAUUAUGAACUCCUGGGGGGAACAAGGCUUUGUUACUGAGGUUUCAAACUUAACCUGGAGGAGCUCACUAGUUAGCCUGUUUCAAACAGAAGAUUAAGAGCAGUAUUAACGUCUAUUACUAUCUACAUGAACAAAUUCCUGCUACUAUAAGGUUCUCUAACAUAGCAGGCAUAAUAAGGAAUGGAUGGAAGUCUCAGCAGGACAAAUUAAAACUCAAAAUAUGUAUAUGUGACUAAUGGUAACGUGAGUUACUGAGCAAGUUAUCAAAGAUAGCCAUUUUUUAAUUGCCUGUAAUCGUAAAUCAUCUGGAGUAUUUAGAAUCUGUAGUCCUGUCACUGAGACUGCAUUUUUUGCUGACCAGUGAAGAACAAAAAAGAAAAGGCCUAUGGCCUUGCCAAGGUGUGCACUAAAGGAAGCAGGAGAGUGACUGUAGGCAGGCUGCAGCCCUCCAUGAUUGUCGCCCCACUGCUGGGGCAACUCCCUCCACCCCUCUCUUGUCAAACGCACAGAACUCGGGGAGGGUGAGCCUGGAGUAAUGUUUUUUAAUCUUGAUGCUGUAACUGUUAGGUAAAAAUCAAAUGAUCAUACCAAAUGAUUUCGCUGAUGGAAUUAAAGUACGUGAAAUGAGUAAUGGUACACACGGGUGGUUGACUUUUUUCCUGAAUCUAUUCAAAGUCAUUCCCAGACUAGUGGAGCUAAGUUGAGCAGACAUUGGUGAUAAGGAUAAUACAGUCUAUUCUUUUAUAUUACAUCGGAAUGGAAUACAGAACUUACUUGGAGAUAGUAUCUUGGAAUUAGUUUUUGAAGUUAAACAUUGUCAGGAAAUUCAAAUACUGUACUGGUGACACAACUGAUAGACAGAUCCAGAUAAUUGUGCUAAUAUCUUAUAGUAUAUAUGGAAAAAAUCUUAUCCAAUGAAAACUCCUUAAUUCCAAUGAUACUCUAAAGUAUUAUUUCCAUGCAGAUUUAAUGAGUUGAGUAAAACCUGUUUGACCUUUAAGGAAAAACAGAAGCCAAGAAUUGUUGAGGCUUACGUUAAGAGGGUAAAAAUAAGGCCCAAUAUGUCUUAGUCCUAAAAUUAUAUUUCUGAAUUAUAUACAUUUAUUUCCUGGAUAUCAAAUGAAGGUAUUUUCAUUGGAAAUGAGAUCCCAACACUUCAUAUUCUUUUGAAUGUCACAUUUUUUCACAUCUACCCAACAGUCUACUCAAGUCAAUCUUCUGUUGACUUCAGCAGUUUAUGAUUUGGUCCAUACCAAGCAGUUCGUAAGAACAGAGAGCUAUCAAAAUAUUCAUCUUCAUGCUAUUAUUGCUGUAGGAAGAUCUCAAUUUCCACAGAGACUUAAAUUGGAUAAAAUAAAUAUUCACUAACACAGGAAUGUAUGCAAUUACGUACUGGCGGAAUCAAACAACUGGAUCUGAUGUCAUGUUCUCAGCUAGUAAUUGGAUAUUGUUUAUCUUUGUUACAGCUCUGUGAAGGAAAUAACAUUACAUGCGACUUUGAGCGUUUUAUGAGCAAUGAGUGGCAAUGGCAUAACUGGGAUAUCAGUUCAUAGAGAUUGCAGAAGAAUCCUGUGUACACAUGCUCUAGCAAAGAUAUUUUGUUACAAGCAAUAUACAAUAAUAAUAGCUAUUCAGAGUGCUUCAUGCUUACAAAGCUCUAGUUAAUAAUUUAAUUAAAUGUAAUUGUCAGCAGCAUUAUUUAUAUUGUUAGAAGAUAAUUAGUCCUUCAGUGACACUUUCAACAUUUCUGCCUUCAUCAUUUUAACAGUUGAGACAAAGAAAUUAACUAUUUAACAGUGAUUGUAAUAUGUAUUAGACUUACACAGUUAUUAAAAUGGUUGUAUUAGCUGGAGUUUUUUAAUUCUGCUUAACAUGGUUGGUAUUUCCUCUUCCUUUUUCCUGUAUAAAUGUAGCAAAUAGAUAAUUUAUUCAGGUCCCAUCCCAAAACAUGGAAAUAUUAAUGAAUGUGUGUAUUUAUAUAUUGAAAUUACUGUCAGGAUUAAAGACGAUGAUCCUGAAAUUCUGAGGUAGGUUAAUGCUUAUGGUCCUUGUAGUUUGUCUCGUCAACAGGUAUGGCACAGGCAGCAAGAGUACAUACAUGCUGCUCAGCAAGCCGGUCUGUGUCUCAGAGGAGACUAUUUUAAGUAUAGUAACUCUGCAUAAACUAUCUAUAGAGUAGUCUUCAAGAUCCUUCGCAAGAUAUGCAAGUUAUUUCCUGGUGCAUUAAAGAGAUUAAAUUGGAUUACAAUCAAAACAAUAAAUCUUUGUAUUAUAAAACUGCAGUUAAUGCAGUUCUUAAUAGCCAUGUGAUGCUUUUGCUUCUUGUGUUCCAUUUGGAAUAGGCAGGAUGGUGUGAGUUAUUAAACAUUACAUUUUUUAAUGUGUAAACAAUAAAAACACAUUAAUGAAGCAAA